This 459-nucleotide ribosomal RNA is filed under the name uncultured bacterium. Its description in RNAcentral is "partial 16S ribosomal RNA". It matches the Rfam family "Bacterial small subunit ribosomal RNA", at positions 338 to 795 of the family's 1533-position model. The record is from RNAcentral.
CCUACGGGUGGCAGCAGUGAGGAAUAUUGGUCAAUGGGCGCGAGCCUGAACCAGCCAAGUAGCGUGAAGGAUGACUGCCCUACGGGUUGUAAACUUCUUUUAUAAAGGAAUAAAGUGAGGCACGUGUGCCUUUUUGUAUGUACUUUAUGAAUAAGGAUCGAUUACCUCGUGCCCGCCGCCGCGGUAAUACGGAGGAUCCGCACGUUAUCCGGAUUUAUUGGGUUUAAAGGGAGCGUAGAUGGGUUGUUAAGUCAGUGUUGAAAGUUUUCGGCGCAACCGUAAAAUUGCAAUUGAUACUGGCAGCCUUGAGUACAGGUGAGGUAGGCGGAAUGCGUGGUGUAGCGGUGAAAUGCUUAGAUAUCACGAAGAACUCCGAUUGCGAAGGCAGCCUACUAAACUGCCACUGACAUUGAUGCUCGAAAGUGUGGGUAUCAAACAGGAUUAGAUACCCGGGUAGUC